This 1201-nucleotide long non-coding RNA is filed under the name Homo sapiens (human). Its description in RNAcentral is "non-protein coding lnc-SETD6-20:1". Lineage: Eukaryota; Metazoa; Chordata; Mammalia; Primates; Hominidae. The record is from RNAcentral.
AAAAGACAGCAGUAACCUCUGUAGACUUAAAUGUCCCUGUCUGACAGCUUUGAAGAGAGCAGUGGUUCUCCCAGCACGCAGCUGGAGAUCUGAGAACCGGCAGACUGCCUCUUCAAGUGGGUCCCUGACCCUGACCCCCGAGCAGCCUAACUGGGAGGCACCCCCCAGCAGGGGCAUACUGACACCUCACACGGCAGGGUAUUCCAACAGACCUGCAGCUGAGGGUCCUGUCUGUUAGAAGGAAAACUAACAAACAGAAAGGACAUCCACACCGAAAACCCAUCUGUACAUCACCAUCAUCAAAGACCAAAAGUAGAUAAAACCACAAAGAUGGGGAAAAAACAGAACAGAAAAACUGGAAACUCUAAAAAGCAGAGCGCCUCUCCUCCUCCAAAGGAACGCAGUUCCUCACCAGCAACGGAACAAAGCUGGACGGAGAAUGACUUUGACAAGCUGAGAGAAGAAGGCUUCAGACGAUCAAAUUACUCCAAGCUACGGGAGGACAUUCAAACCAAAGGCAAAGAAGUUGGAAACUUUGAAAAAAAUUUAGGAGAAUGUAUAACUAGAAUAACCAAUACAGAGAAGUGCUUAAAGGAGCUGAUGGAGCUGAAAACCAAGGCUCGAGAACUACAUGAAGAAUGCAGAAGCCUCAGGAGCCGAUGAGAUCAACUGGAAGAAAGGGUAUCAGCAAUGGAAGAUGAAAUGAAUGAAAUGAAGUGAGAAGGGAAGUUUAGAGAAAAAAGAAUAAAAAGAAAUGAGCAAAGCCUCCAAGAAAUAUGGGACUAUGUGAAAAGACCAAAUCUACAUCUGAUUGGUGUACCUGAAAGUGAUGGGGAGAAUGGAACCAAGUUGGAAAACACUCUGCAGGAUAUUAUCCAGGAGAACUUCCCCAAUCUAGCAAGGCAGGCCAACGAACAAAGAACAAAGAAACAAAAGAACAAAGCUGGAGGCCUCACGCUACCUGACUUCAAACUAUACUACAAGGCUACAGUAACCAAAACAGCAUGGUACUGGUACCAAAACAGAGAUAUAGAUCAAUGAAACAGAACAGAGCCCUCAGAAAUAAUGCCGCAUAUCUACAACUAUCUGAUCUUUGACAAACCUGAGACAAACAAGCAAUGGGGAAAGGAUUCCCUAUUUAAUAAAUGGUGCUGGGAAAACUGGCUAGCCAUAUGUAGAAAGCUGAAACUGGAUCCCUUCC